Podarcis muralis (Common wall lizard) is the source of this 99-nucleotide small nuclear RNA. The record is from Ensembl. NCBI's taxonomy places the organism in Eukaryota, Metazoa, Chordata, Lepidosauria, Squamata, Lacertidae.
GCUCUCUUCGGCAGCACAUAUACUAAAAUUGGAACAGUACAGAGAAGAUUAGCAUGGCCCCUGCACAAUGCAAAACAAAUUAAUCCAUUCCAGACUUUU